UACGUAGGGUGCGAGCGUUGUCCGGAAUUACUGGGCGUAAAGAGCUCGUAGGUGGUUUGUCGCGUUGUUCGUGAAAUCUCACGGCUUAACUGUGAGCGUGCGGGCGAUACGGGCAGACUAGAGUACUGCAGGGGAGACUGGAAUUCCUGGUGUAGCGGUGGAAUGCGCAGAUAUCAGGAGGAACACCGGUGGCGAAGGCGGGUCUCUGGGAAACAACUGACACUGAGGCGCGACAGCGUGGGGAGCAAACAGG
Molecule: ribosomal RNA, 253 nt
Filed under: uncultured bacterium
Lineage: Bacteria
Description: partial 16S ribosomal RNA
Rfam family: Bacterial small subunit ribosomal RNA
Source: RNAcentral